Long non-coding RNA from Chiroxiphia lanceolata (lance-tailed manakin), 373 nucleotides. RefSeq lists it as uncharacterized. The transcript is spliced from 3 exons. The record is from RefSeq and is a predicted model, not a curated record. Lineage: Eukaryota; Metazoa; Chordata; Aves; Passeriformes; Pipridae.
UCCCCCCCCAACCCUCUGCCUUUGUUAUAAGAAAAGCAAGAGGAGAGAGUGACCUCCUGAGCCAAAGGUUUCGACACUGAAUCAAAUCCCUUUAGGCCUGAACUGGCAGGCUGGGCCCGGCGUUGGAUUACUUUAUCACAUCUUAGAGCGAUGCUUAAGAUAGCAAUAGUAAAAGUAAAUGAAUUCCAAACCAAACUUAAGCCUCUACAGACAUUUAUGGAGCAGAACAGGUGAAUUCCAGAGACACUAAGAAACUCUUUCCUGUUAAAUUAAGACAACCUCAGAUGAAAAACCUUUUGAUGUGAAUCACGGAGAUACUGGGGAUGGGACUAAGAGAAUUUUAGUACCUGUUUCCUGAAUUAUAGCUGGGAUG